Molecule: ribosomal RNA, 465 nt
Filed under: uncultured Klebsiella sp.
Lineage: Bacteria; Pseudomonadati; Pseudomonadota; Gammaproteobacteria; Enterobacterales; Enterobacteriaceae
Description: bacterial SSU rRNA
Rfam family: Bacterial small subunit ribosomal RNA
Source: RNAcentral
CCUACGGGUGGCAGCAGUGGGGAAUAUUGCACAAUGGGCGCAAGCCUGAUGCAGCCAUGCCGCGUGUGUGAAGAAGGCCUUCGGGUUGUAAAGCACUUUCAGCGGGGAGGAAGGCGUUAAGGUUAAUAACCUUGGCGAUUGACGUUACCCGCAGAAGAAGCACUGGCUAACUCCGUGCCAGCAGCCGCGGUAAUACGGAGGGUGCAAGCGUUAAUCGGAAUUACUGGGCGUAAAGCGCACGCAGGCGGUCUGUCAAGUCGGAUGUGAAAUCCCCGGGCUCAACCUGGGAACUGCAUUCGAAACUGGCAGGGUAGAGUCUUGUAGAGGGGGGUAGAAUUCCAGGUGUAGCGGUGAAAUGCGUAGAGAUCUGGAGGAAUACCGGUGGCGAAGGCGGCCCCCUGGACAAAGACUGACGCUCAGGUGCGAAAGCGUGGGGAGCAAACAGGAUUAGAUACCCUUGUAGUC